RNAcentral lists this ribosomal RNA (1363 nucleotides) under uncultured bacterium. Its description in RNAcentral is "bacterial SSU rRNA". It matches the Rfam family "Bacterial small subunit ribosomal RNA", at positions 28 to 1381 of the family's 1533-position model. The record is from RNAcentral.
AUUGAACGCUGGCGGCAGGCCCAACACAUGCAAGUCGAACGGUAACAGGAAACAGCUUGCUGUUUCGCUGACGAGUGGCGGACGGGUGAGUAAUGUCUGGGAAACUGCCUGAUGGAGGGGGAUAACUACUGGAAACGGUAGCUAAUACCGCAUAACGUCGCAAGACCAAAGAGGGGGACCCUCGGGCCUCUUGCCAUCGGAUGUGCCCAGAUGGGAUUAGCUUGUUGGUGGGGUAACGGCUCACCAAGGCGACGAUCCCUAGCUGGUCUGAGAGGAUGACCAGCCACACUGGAACUGAGACACGGUCCAGACUCCUACGGGAGGCAGCAGUGGGGAAUAUUGCACAAUGGGCGCAAGCCUGAUGCAGCCAUGCCGCGUGUAUGAAGAAGGCCUUCGGGUUGUAAAGUACUUUCAGCGGGGAGGAAGGGAGUAAAGUUAAUACCUUUGCUCAUUGACGUUACCCGCAGAAGAAGCACCGGCUAACUCCGUGCCAGCAGCCGCGGUAAUACGGAGGGUGCAAGCGUUAAUCGGAAUUACUGGGCGUAAAGCGCACGCAGGCGGUUUGUUAAGUCAGAUGUGAAAUCCCCGGGCUCAACCUGGGAACUGCAUCUGAUACUGGCAAGCUUGAGUCUCGUAGAGGGGGGUAGAAUUCCAGGUGUAGCGGUGAAAUGCGUAGAGAUCUGGAGGAAUACCGGUGGCGAAGGCGGCCCCCUGGACGAAGACUGACGCUCAGGUGCGAAAGCGUGGGGAGCAAACAGGAUUAGAUACCCUGGUAGUCCACGCCGUAAACGAUGUCGACUUGGAGGUUGUGCCCUUGAGGCGUGGCUUCCGGAGCUAACGCGUUAAGUCGACCGCCUGGGGAGUACGGCCGCAAGGUUAAAACUCAAAUGAAUUGACGGGGGCCCGCACAAGCGGUGGAGCAUGUGGUUUAAUUCGAUGCAACGCGAAGAACCUUACCUGGUCUUGACAUCCACGGAAGUUUUCAGAGAUGAGAAUGUGCCUUCGGGAACCGUGAGACAGGUGCUGCAUGGCUGUCGUCAGCUCGUGUUGUGAAAUGUUGGGUUAAGUCCCGCAACGAGCGCAACCCUUAUCCUUUGUUGCCAGCGGUCCGGCCGGGAACUCAAAGGAGACUGCCAGUGAUAAACUGGAGGAAGGUGGGGAUGACGUCAAGUCAUCAUGGCCCUUACGACCAGGGCUACACACGUGCUACAAUGGCGCAUACAAAGAGAAGCGACCUCGCGAGAGCAAGCGGACCUCAUAAAGUGCGUCGUAGUCCGGAUUGGAGUCUGCAACUCGACUCCAUGAAGUCGGAAUCGCUAGUAAUCGUGGAUCAGAAUGCCACGGUGAAUACGUUCCCGGGCCU